GGCGGCGUGCCUAACACAUGCAAGUCGAACGAGAAAGUGGAGCAAUCCAUGAGUAAAGUGGCGGCGGGUGAGUAACACGUGACUAACCUACCCUUGAGUGGGGGAUAACUUCGGGAAACCGAGGCUAAUACCGCAUAAUACCUUCGGGUCAAAGGAGUAAUUCGCUUAAGGAGGGGGUCGCGGCUGAUUAGCUAGUUGGUAGGGUAAUGGCCUACCAAGGCAAUGAUCAGUAUCCGGCCUGAGAGGGCGCACGGACACACUGGAACUGAAACACGGUCCAGACUCCUACGGGAGGCAGCAGUGGGGAAUUUUGCACAAUGGGGGAAACCCUGAUGCAGCAACGCCGCGUGGAGGAUGAAGUCCCUUGGGAUGUAAACUCCUUUCGACCGGGACGAUAAUGACGGUACCGGUGGAAGAAGCCCCGGCUAACUCUGUGCCAGCAGCCGCGGUAAUACAGAGGGGGCAAGCGUUGUUCGGAAUUAUUGGGCGUAAAGGGUGCGUAGGCGGUGCGGUAAGUCUUCUGUGAAAUCUCCGGGCUCAACUCGGAGUCUGCAGGAGAAACUGCCGUGCUUGAGUAUGGGAGAGGUGAGUGGAAUUCCUGGUGUAGCGGUGAAAUGCGUAGA
RNAcentral lists this ribosomal RNA (623 nucleotides) under uncultured bacterium. RNAcentral's name for it is "bacterial SSU rRNA". It matches the Rfam family "Bacterial small subunit ribosomal RNA", at positions 38 to 694 of the family's 1533-position model. The record is from RNAcentral.